AAGAUUGAGAACCUCAAUCAGAAUAUAGGAGCUUUGUCUGUAAAACUGUCGCAGAAGAUAUGGCGGAACUUGAAUCUAUUGCUUCUGCAGGAGUCAAGGGUGAGAGAUACGGACCUGAAAUCAGCAAUGGCAAAAUUCUGAAACUCCACCCAUUGUCAACCUGGAAGAGGACAUGAAGACAUAGCUUUGUUGUGGCAAUAAUUCCUUCUAGCUAUUUGCCUGAUGGUGGAUUUCACUAUAUUAAGAGUUGAGUGAUAUGUAUUUGUCCCUAUAAAUUUCGUCAUACUAUUGUCUCCAGGGUUAAGGCAAGUAAAGUUAUAAGAAGAAUGGAGUUUUCUUCAGAAAGGUUGUAAUGAAUAAAGAUCUGGUCAUGUAAAAGCAGAACAUAAUUUUCCUUGCAGUUGAAUGCAUUAAAGGUUAUGUAUUGUACUUUUGAAUGCUAAAGUGGUCCAUUUUUUAUGUGUUACUGCUACGAGAGUUAUAGAUUGUUGGACAUCAUUUUUUGGUUGGAAUGUUUACAUCAAACGUCUCCAAGGACAUGUCAUUCUAAAGUUUAAACUACAUCAUACCACAAAAUGCAGAAAAAGGUCUAAAGUAUGGGAUGUUUGUAAAUUUUCACGGGAGGCUUUGUUGGGUAAAUUGUAAAGGACUAGCAAAUAUUGUAACAAGAAUUGGCUUCAAAUCGUGAUAGAAAUCACUUUCCUUUAGGCUUUAUUUGUCCGGUAUAAAGUGCAAUAACCUUAGACAAAUAUCCUUUAAGAUAAGAUGAAGUUUUGUUUGUCUUAAACUCUUGCACAAAGCAAGACAAACCCUUUGUGAACUAAGGAGUGCUUUUGAGAGAGUAAGGAUAGUAGGAAAGUGAUUUUCUGCAGCAAACUACUCUCUACUUGACCUCUUUAUAUAGGAAGAUUGUUUGGGAAACAAAAGAUCUCAUUAAACACUUGUAUGAAUAGAUUCAAAGUAUUGUGUACACAUUCAUGCACUUUAAUUCAUGCAUCUCAUGAUCAUUUAGAUCAAAACAUGAAUCUAUCCUUUCAUUCAAUAAUUCUCAUAUACAUGAAUACAUUCAUAAAUGAAUGUACUUUUAGAACAUUCACAAUACUAUACAUGUACCAAAAAUUAAUGAAUACAUUAAUUACAUGUAUGUACAUCAUACAAAUUUUGAAAAGUUUCCAACAAUCCCCGCCAUUUUCAAAAUUUAGAAAAUGGAUUUCUAAAAGGUCACCAAGUAAUCUGACACUCAUAUGCAUAAAUAAUGGUGUCUUUCGAUUGAACCACUAUCUUAGUGAAGGUUCUUUGAAAUCAAUCCUUCAAGAUGGUAGACAAGCUUUGAACCACUUGGACAUUGGACCAACCUCAUAAACACAUCACACACUGAGCAAUGCACAACCAUAAGUUCUUCAACGAUACAUUUUACGGCCUUGUAUCACUAUCCUUUCUGAAUGUUUACAAAGUAAAGUCCUUAAUUUGUGGUUUGCCGAAAAAAACAUUCAUAUAGGCGACAUCUUAGUGCCCCGCCAUAGAUAGCACUUUUAAGAUUCGUUAAGAGUCCAAUGACUCAUCCUUACAUUUGCACUGGCGAGAAUAACAUGCACUAUUCAACAUUGGGAUGUCUAAACUUCACAUAGUGCACCAACCACUAGAAUGGUGUACUUUCACUCAUUGAAUUCAAGACUAGACGUUGUAUCUAGCGUUGAAUUGAGGUUCCACCAUUAGUGAUCAAAAUUUUGGACUUUAAACCAUCCCCUUGAUGUCUUUGACACCAAAUUUCUUGAUAAUCCUUUUGUCAAAGGAUCACUUAAAUUUUCAUUUGAUCUCACAAAGUCAAUUGAUAUGACUCCAUUUGUAAUCAAAUCUUUGACAUAACUAUGUCUCAAACCGAUAUGUCUUGAUUUACCAUUAUACACUUGACUAUAUGCUUUAGCAAGUGUAGCUGCACUAUCACAAUGGAUUGAGAUAGGCGACAAAGGUGUUGGCCACAAUGGUAUAUCAUAAAGUAAAUUACGUAGCCAUUCAGCUUCUUUACAGGCCGAAGCAAGUGCUACAAACUCUGCUGCCAUUGUUGAAUCGGUGAUACAAGUCUGUUUCUUAGAACCCCAAGAAAUUGCACCUCCACCAAGCAUAAAGAUCCAACCACUUGUCGACGAGUGAUCAUCUUUAUUGGUGAUCCAACUAGCAUCUGAAAAUCCUUCUAAAACUGAAGGAUAACCGGUAUAACAUAUACCAUAGUCUUAGUGGCCUUUAAAUACUUUAAAAUUUUGGUUACACCUUGCCAAUGUAACCUACUAGGGUUGCUUGUAUAUCUGCUCAAUAUACCAACUGCAUAUGCAAUAUCAGGUUAGUACAAGUCAUUGCAUACAUUAAAUACCCUAUAACCUUGGCAUAUUCCAUUUGAGAUUUUGAUCCCCCUCAUUUUUCACAAAAUUUAUUUUGAAUCCAAUGGUGUUGAGGCUGGAAUACAAUCACUUUGAUUGAAUUUGUUAAGAAUCUUUUCAAUAUAAUGUGUUUGAGACAACAUUAUAUUGUUAUCAUGUUUGAAGAUUCUCAUACCAAGAAUGACAUCUGCCUCACCCAUGUUUUCAUGUCAAAUUUGCUUGAAAGCAAAGUUUUUGUGACUUCAACUUGUUCCAAGUCAGUCCCAAAAAUCAACAUGUCAUCAACAUAUAAACAAAUUAUGACACCUUUGCCAUAUCAAACUUGCUAUAAAUACAUUUAUCAGAUUCAUUUAUUUUGAACCACUAGCAAGAAUAACUUGGUCAAAUUUCUGAUGCCAUUGCUUCGGUACUUGUUUUAGUCCAUAUAAAACUUUACAAGUUUACACACCUUAUGCUCUUGACCAGUAUCACAAACCCUUCGGGUUGCUCCAUAUAUAUUCUUCAUCCAAAUCACCAUUCAAGAAUGCUGUUUUAACAUCCAUUUGGUGAAUGACUAGAUUUUGGAUAGAAGCUAUAGCAAGUAGCACUCUAAUUGUAGCAAUUCUAGCUACUGGUGAAUAUGUGUCAAAAUAGUCCACACCAUACUUUUGUGUAACCUUUGGCAACCAACCUGGCCUUGAACUUAUCAAUAGUUCCGUCGAUCUUCAUUUUCUUCUUAAGAUCCACUUACAACCAAUUGGUUUUGAACCAGGUGGUAAGUCUACUAAUUUCAGGUUUUAUUACCCAUGAUUGAGUCCAUCUCAUCAUUAAUAGCUUCCUUCCAAAAGGGAGCAUCUUGUGAGUUCAUUGCUUCUUCAUAGGUCUUGGGAUCAGCUCAAUAUUGAAGCAAUAUGAGAUUUGGUUGCUCACUGUAUCUCUAGUUCUUCAACUAGAUACAUAUAAAAGUCCGAACCGAAGUCUUUUGAUUUCUAGCUCUUUUGCUCCUUCUCAAUUCAAUGGUUUCAUUUUCACCAUCUUUUGUCAAUUCACUUGAUUUUGGAAUAACAUCUUUUAUAGAGGUGAACCUAUUCUCUUCAAAAAUAGCAUCUCUAGACUCAAUUAUGGUAUUAACCGAAAUUGAAUCAUUAGGUUCAAUUACCAUGAACCUAUAUGCUUUGCUAUUUUGUGCAUAUCUAAAAUAUACACUCCACACCUCUUUCUCCCAAUUUCCUUUUUUGAGGUUCUGGGAGUUUUACAAUAGCUCUACAACCCCAAACUUUCAAAUAGUUUAGGUUGGACUUCCUUUUAUUCCAAAAUUCAUAAGGGGUUAUAGAACUUCUUUUAUUAGAACUCUAUUUAGGAUAUGACAAGCCGUUAACAAGGCUUCACCCAAAAUCCUUGACUUAAACCAGAUUUUGACAAAAGUGCAUUAACCAUUUCUGUCAAUACACGAUUUUUCCUUUCGGCUACACCAUUUUUUGUGGUGUGUAAGGAGCAGUCACCUCAUGUUUUAUCCCAACAGACUCAAAAUAGGUAAUAUCAUAAUAUUCCCCACCUCUAUCUGUUCUUAGACAUUUGAUAAAGGAUUCACAAUGAAGUUCAACUUCUGAUUUGUAUGCCUUAAAUUUUUGCAAAGUUCACUUUUGAGUGUAACAAGAAAACAUGACAGUAUCUACUAUAAUCAUCAAUAAAAGUCACAAAGUACUUUUUACCACCCAAAAUAGGAGUACCAUGCAAAUCACGUACAUCACUAUGAAUCAAAUCAAGAUUUUAGAUGAUCUUUCAACUUUAGAAACGAAUUUCUUGUGAUUUUCGUUAGCAUGCAUGUUUUGUAUUUUCCUUCAAUUUUACAAUAUGGCAGCAAAUCAAGUCUCAUCAUUUCAUGCAUUCUUUUGUAAUUAACAUGACCAAUCCUAUUAUGCCACAAUUUAAAAGAAGACUCAACCAAACGCAGAAAUAAUAUCACUCUUAUUAUUUCUAAUAGCAGUACAUUCAACUUAAACAUCCCAUGCAAAGAUAACCCUUGCCUACAAACAUACCACCUUUAGACAAAAUAAAUUUGUCAGACUCAAAUAUAAGUCUAAAGCCAAAUUUAUUUAACAGCUCAGCCGACACCAAGUUCUUCCUAACUUCCGGUACAUAAAACACAUUUGUCAAGGUUACAACAUUUUCGAAGUAAAUUUUAAUUCUAUUUCUCCAAUGUCUUGAACCGGAAUUGUAGCAGAAUUUUUCAUGUAAACAACGGUGCUUUCAUCCACCGGUUUCAUGGACUUGAAGAACGUUCUAUUGUUGCACACGUGUCGCGUAGCUCCAGAAUCAACCCACCAAGCAAAAUUAUCUUCAAUCAUAUUGAUUUCAGAUAUCAUUGCUACAAGAUUUUGCUUGUGGUUUGGGAAGACUCUUGCUUCUUCUUCUUGUUUUGAAGAAUCUUGCAAUCGGACUUGUAGUGUCCCUCUUUCUUGCAAUAGAAGUAUUGUCCCUUCUUUCUUUUCUUGGAUUGAUUCUUGGGUUGUUGGCCCUUCUUACUUCCUUGAGACUUUUCAGUUUGCCUCUCUUCAAUCACAUGCACUUUUGAAGUAGAAUCUUUGUUCUCUUCAAGGAUUUGACUAUCCUUCUUUUCUUGCAUGCGAAUUUCCUCUUCUACUCGAAGAGAUUUAGCAAAAUCUCAAGAGAGAUAUCAUCUUUUUUGUUUGAGGUCUCUUUUGAAAUCUUUCCAAGAAAGUGGUAACUUAUCUAUUAUAGAGCAAACAAUAAUGGCUUCAUCAUGUGUAGAUUGUGUUGUGUGAGUGAUUAAGAAGCCUUUCAAUCUCACUAAAUUGCUCCAAAACUUAUUAUCUACCAUUUUAUAAUUAUUAAAAGACGAGACAAGAAACUUCUUACUUGUAGCAUCUUCUUGCAUGUACUUGGACUCCAAUCGAUCCCAAAGUUCCUUGGCAGUAGUAAUUGAAUGGUAGACAUCGAACAGGUUGUCACUCAUGGUAUUGAGGAUGUGACCACGGCAUAUUUCAUCGUCGUUCUCCCAUUUCUGACGGUUUCAGAUGUGUUCAAGAGUUUCUUCAUCGGGAUUGAUCAAUGAUUUUGGUGUGAUCAAAACAUAGACCACUUUGAGUGCAGUGAGAAGGAAAUGAACACGUUUUUGCCAACGAACGAAAUUUCCUCCAUCAAACCGCGUGAGCUUGACAAUAUUGGAUGCCAAAUCUUUCAAGGUACCAUCCAUUGUAGAGUAUAAAUAAAGCCUAAAAUUGUUGGGUAAAUUGUAAAGGACUAGCAAAUAUUGUAACAAGAAUUGGCUUCAAAUCGUGAUAGAAAUCACUUUCCUUUAGGCUUUAUUUGUCCGGUAUAACGUGCAAUUACCUUAGACAAAUAUCCUUUAGGAUAAGAUGAAGUUUUGUUUGUUUUAAACUCUUGCACAAAGCAAGACAAACCCUUUGUGAACUAAGAGUGCUUUUGAGAGAGUAAGGAUAGUAGGAAAGUGAUUUUCUACAGCAAACCACUCUCUACUUGACCUCUUUAUAUAGGAAGAUUGUUUGGGAAACAAAAGAUCUCAUUAAACACUUGUAUGAAUAGAUUCAACGUAUUGUGUACACAUUCAUGCACUUUAAUUCAUGCAUCUCAUGAUCAUUUAGAUCAAAACAUGAAUCUAUCCUUUCAUUCAAUAAUUCCCAUAUACAUGAAUACAUUCAUAAAUGAAUGUACUUUUAGGAACAUUCACAAUACUAUACAUGUACCAAAAAUUAAUGAAUAUACAUUAAUUACAUGUAUGUACAUCAUACAAAUUUUGAAAAGUUUCCAACAGGCUUGUGAUAGCAAAAACUUCAGGAGGCUUCUGAAAUUAUCCCUUAAACUAAACUAAAGGAGGUAAGAUUUUAAGCAGAUCUCGGUAAGUUAAAAGGUUAAAACUUUACAUACAAAUAAAUGGUCAAAUUCACUUUAAAUUUGUGGUGUCAUCUUCCACCUUAAACUUUUGUACUAUCCAAGUUCGUUUUAAUUCCUUUGGGAAAAUCAAACAUCAAAUGCUUACCAUUUAUUGAAACAUUACAUCAUCCAUCCAAUUGAAACAAACUCCUACGGAGUUUUUUUUUUUUUUUUUGCUUUAUUUUGUUGUUAGAUAUGAAUUUAUUUCACAUUUGGUUGUCAGAUCUAAAUUUUUUUUUCAAAUUUUAAAUCUAUUUCAACAUAUCUCAUUAUCAUUAUUGAAACUUAAAACCGUUUAUUGGCAAAUCUGGUGAUUGCCAUAUGCACGGAAGGGAUGCACUUUUAAAAUUCUUUAUAUAUAUUUUUUUAGAUUUGUUUGUAAUUUUCAAAUCUAUUGUAUCUGUUAAAUUAUGAUCUGUAAUUUUUAAUGGAUGUUUGGCCUGCCAUUAGGGGAGUUAUGCAAAUCAAAUCAUGUUAGAUGAUUUCCAAAAAAAACUUAAUCGUCAAUUACUCUUUCCCAUUUUAUUUGUCCACUUUUCAAUUGUCAAUAACUCUUUUAAGAAACUUUGUAAUACAAAAAUCAACUGAAACCAGUAGAAUAUUACUUUGUAAUAUUUUUUUUGACAAAAAAAAGUAGAAUAUACAAUUAAUAGCAGUAUUCAUAUUAUGUUUUUGUAUAUUACUUGUACAUCUAAUUAGUCCCAUUUGGAGAAAAAAAAGGAUGAAGACAAAGACAAAAACACAUAAUAGUCACAAAAAACACAGAUCUAGCUCAAAAUAUGGCAGUGACCAAUUGUUCUGCAAAAUUAUUAGGAUAAGCAGUUGACAGAUUCUAUAAUCGCUUUUGGUCAAAUAUUAUUUAAAUUAGCUGGAUGGUCAAAUAUUACUUUUAAUUUUAAUCAUUUAAAUUACCAGUUACUAUCAUCAUUGGAAGAAGCACAUUGAGGGUCUGUUUGGAUUGUGAAUUAUUAGAGAUAUUUUUACUGUAGCACUUUUUAUGAUGUGAUGUAUGUGAGAUAAAAAGGUAAUUGGAAAGGUAAAAAGGUGUAUUGGAAAUUGUAAUAAUGAUGUAAGCAAAUAAAUUUUGAGAAAUAAAGCCCAAUCCAAACAAAGCCUGAAGGAAUGAUACUCUAAGAUGACUACAGAAAUUUUCUAGCUGGUUAUACAACAUAUUAAUAGUUGAAUGUUGACCUCACCAGCCAUCCCUCAUUCCUUGUCGCAUCCUUUUUAUGAAUUGGAUUCAUCUAUUUGGUGUUCUAAAAUCACAUUUAAAAGUUUUUUUUUUUUUGCGAAAGUGUUAUUAUUCAGGAUGUGUAUGAUAAUUUAAAAUUUUAAUAGUGGACCUAAAAAUAAAACUUGUAAAUUUUACAUAUGAGCCUACCUACUUUUAAAAUAGAGGGAAAAAAACAUCACAUAACUUCAAGUCCAAGAUUGUAUGCAGUUUGUCCAAUAAAUAGAUAUUCAUAAUUCAUAAUUUCAUAUACACAUGUUAACUAGAGAUGUCAAUCACAACCCAAUUAUAUUGAUCCGUUCAAAACCGUUCACUAAUAACCCAUCCAAAUUCACUCAUUAAAAUUUAAAUGGGUCUAAGUGAGUACCUAAUUAAAUCCAUUUAAUUGGUGGAUAGUUGAUUGAUUUGACUCACCCAUUUAUAACCAUUUAAAAAAAUAUAUUUUUAAACUCAAUUUUUACUAAGUGUUAAGAAGAUAAAUUUGAAUUUCCUACAAAUCUAAUAACAAUAAAAUAUCAUUUUUCUUGUUAAACGACAUGCAAAAAAUUUUAAAAAAAAUAGAAUUUCAAAUCAGUGUAAAUGGGUAAUUAAGUAUUUUCAUAUCCAUUUAUUAAAUAGAUAUAAAUGGAUUGAUUCAAUUAUAUCUAUUAUCCAAUUAAAAUUUGCUCAAACCUGUACAAGUCACUCAUUUUUAUGCUUCUAAUGUUAAUAUAUAUUCACAAGUGAAGAGUGCAGCAUUGACAAGGAAGAUAUACUUAUUUAUCCCAAUAUUAUAGUCAUUUUUUUCAUUACAAAAGUAUUGAUAAUUUCAUAAUUUCAUCAUCAGUGACAUAACAUUACAUGAAUUUCAACGAAGUAUGUAAUCAGUGACAUGACAUAACAUGUCAUCAUUAGUCUUCAGCGGUGAAUCUUAUCACGAGGCUUCUUUUCGAAGCUUUGAUUAUGGCAUACACUUCUGACAAAUGUCCCUUUUAGAAUAGGGAUAAUUUCUGUGACCAGGCUUUCUUUCAAAGCUUUGAUUAUGGCAUACACUUCUGACAAUGCCCCUUUUAGAAUAGGAUAAUUUCAGAAACCUCCCAGGGUUUGUAACAAUUCAUCGAACUUUUUGAAAUUUUUAAUAUUACACUUAUCUCCCUUUAUGAUAGACAAUAAUUAUAAUAACCUUCAUAAUUUUUUCAAAGACAAGCUAUUGAUAAAAAAGAUAAAAAAAAAUGAAAACAAUUCUUCUUGCUAAGCCUCAUAUUGGACUAAAUUGUUUCACCCAUAACCACUAAAUUGUAAUUUCUAUUACUCAGAAAAGAAGCAUUUUGGUAAUUGAGGGGCUUGGUUGUUUGAGUGGGAAAAGGGUAAGAAUUGUGAAUUUUAUGAUUGACGGUUUGGUAGACAACAUAUGGAAAAAACUUAUAGAGAGGUAAAAAUUAUAAAGAUAAGAAUUAUGAUGAUGGAUUUUGACAUCUAAAAUAUCGAGCUUGUUCGAAAAAAGGAAGAAAUGAUAAGAUCGAGUUUGAAAACUUGGGUAGAUGUAGAAAAUUAUGAGAUGAAAAAUAUUAGGACAUUGUCUAAGUAAUAAAACUCAUAGGUUUAUAGUAUACAAGUGUAUUCUUGAUUUUGAAAAAAUUUUAAUGACUAUUCAUAUUUUGAAAAUUAGAUAAGGGCAAUUUUGGACAUUCAUAUAUUUUUCUGGUCUUACAUCAUCAAGGUGAAACUCAAACCUAUGUUUUAGUAAAUGUAUGUGUAAUUUUCAAAAAGUGAGGAAAGCUGUCUGAAAUUAUCAGAAACCUCAGGGGUGAUUUAUGAAAUUAUCCCUAAUUUUUUUUUUGGUACAAAAAACUCCAAAAUAAUAUGUCCCACACUCUGUGCCACACUCUGUGCCACUUUUUAUUAUAUUGCUAUUUUUCCUACAUAAAUAACAUGUUUUAAUUCUUUUUUGCUUUCUUAAGAUCCAAUAACUAUUAAUUAAGUAAAAAAUAAAUACAACAACUUCAAAAAAGCAAUAUAUAAUAGAAAAUUAAAAAAUACAGCAGAAAAUUCAUAAAAAAUCUCAUUUUUAUAUAUUUUGAUUUUUUGACUUUGUUAAAUUUUGUGUAUUACUCAAUUAAUAGUUAUUGGAUCUUAAGGAAGCAAAAAAGAAUUAAAAUAUGAUGUUUAUGUAGGAGAAAUAGUAAUAUAAUAAAAAAUGGGACAGGCACAUGGUGUGGGACAAAAGGUCCGUUGCACCAAAAAAGUGGCAGUUCAAACUGGAACCAUCUCCUAUUUUCGCAAGUCCUCCCGCCGGCGGCCCUGGGUCAUCUAUAAAAGUAUAGACCAAGACAACACUAAUCCCUCAUCAGUCCACUCCAUACUUCUUCUUCAAGCCUCAGCAACGAAACAAUAAACUCUGCUCCACUCAACUCUUUCCUCUGUGUCUUGUGCUCUUGUCUGAAAAUGGGCGGCGUCAGAAGAAGUGAAAGUGCCAAGAAUCAAGCUGGGGUCGCAAGGUUUUGAAGUUUCAGCUCAAGGGCUGGGCUGCAUGGGCAUGUCAGCCUUCUACGGGCCGCCAAAGCCCGAGCCUGAUAUGAUCAAACUCAUCCACCAUGCUAUUUGCAGAGGAAUCACCCAUCUUGACACCUCCGAUAUCUAUGGACCUCACACCAACGAAAUACUCAUUGGCAAGGUACCAUAUUUGCAAAUUUUCUGCUGUUGUCUGCUAUGCGUAAACUCUUGUAAUUUUAAUUUCUAAAAGAGCAUAUUUUUAAAUAUUUUAUUUAGGUAAAUUAUACUUAAUCCCUUGCACUUCAAAAUUUGUCUCCCUUUGUGCCCCCUUAAUUUUGUUUGUCAGCACUUAAACUCCACUUGUUUAAAUUGUAAGUAUUAUUAGUCAAAUAUGACAUUGUUCUUCUUCAUUUUUUCAUGUUACUGCCUUUUCAGUUUGUCCUCCUUUAUAAAUAUGGGAUGAAUUACUUUGAUUUUGAUUUUGGUGCAAUUUUGUAUAAAAUGAUUUUUGCUAUGAAGUUAUUGAUUUAUUAUGAGCUAUGCGUUGUAUAUUUACACAAAUUCUGCUAGUUAAACAUUCACUUGAGCAGGCCUUCCAAACAUGAGCAAUAUAAUUCUCUAUGGGUGCAUUUGGUAAAAUUGACGAUUGAAAAUUGAAAUCUAAUUUAAAGUCUGAAUCCAUAAAAUUAUUAAUUUGUUAAGUACUAAAUUUGAUACGUUUGAGUGCAUGUCAUGUCAAGUGAUCACAGAAUAACUCAUCACUUAUUUUUUAAAGCAAGUUUUGCUUAAGAAAUUCAGUGCCAUUUAAUUAAUUUAGAUAUUCAAUGUUUAAUUAUCAAACAUAUAUGAAUAUAUUAACAUCUGAAUCUAUUAAUUUUAAGUGCUGAAUUGGGUUAUCAAACAUGACCUAUAAUUAUUAGGUAACCAAGCAGACAACAUGUUUAGUGUAUAAUAGUAAUUAACUUUCAAUUUGUGUCGUUAUUCUUUGGUAAAGAACUCUUAGAAUUAUUAAUAAUAAAUUUCUCAUACACGGGAAUCAAAAUAAUUGAAGUUUUAUCUCUACCAUUGAGAUAUGUUGCCAUCUAAAAGAAAGGAAAGGGAAGGAAACAUGGGGGAAAAUAGGGAAAGGGCAAAGUGAUGAUAAAUAAAAUUGGAAGUAGCAAAAUGAGACAAAUGAAUUAUUGCAAGGGGUUAAGUGUAAAUUAUGUUUAUUUUAUGAGACCAUUUAGGCAGAAAGACUGGACCCUUUUAACGCGCCAAUCAAAAGUUCCAAUUGCUGAAAAUAACAUAAAAACUUGACUUUGUUUGGUUUGGCGUUUUUGGAGGUGGUUCAUGAAAAUUUUAUUGUAGUUUUUUUUUUCAUCUUGAAAAAUAUACUUUUUUCAUCAAUUUAUGGAAAGUUUACAAUUUCUCUGAUAACAGAUGGUAAAAUUUACUUUUUACGAGCACUGAAGUUUUAAAGAUUAUGAAAAGAGAAUUGUAUGAAGGAAUAGAAGGGAAAAGAAGGGUAAGAAAAUGGAUGGAUUGUGUUUGGAUUGAUUUUGGAGGGGCAAGGAGAGGAAACGGAGAGAAAAGGAAAUGGAUGGAUUGUGUUUUGCUCAGACAUCAUUUCCAUACAAAAGUAGAUAGAAACAGAGGGAAAGAAAAUCUUGUUGAUGAUUUUCUAGUAAAAUGCCUCGAGCACCCAAAUUUUACAUAAACUUGCCAUUUGUGAAACCUGCUUUAGAUAUGAAUUGUGGGAUGCAACAGCAGGCUAGGAAUGUUUGACGAAGCAACUUGUGUAGAUAUUUUAUCGUUAAGUAAAGAGAAAAACUAUUCCUUUCAUGUCUGUCGUUCUACCAAACAGCAUAUUAGGUUUUCUUUCUUUCCCAUUCAUAUCUAAUCCAAAUAAGACAAAUGAGAACUAUUUUCUCUACUCUCUUUCCUUUCUUUUUCACUAGCAUGUUUUAUUUAUUUAUUUAUCCUUUCCUUUGAUCCAAAUGGUUCCUAAAAGGCCACUAAUUAUUCUACAUUGACCAGUUCCCUAUUUUUGUAUUAAUUUGCAUGUGCACGAUUCUGUGUAUGUUCAUGUUGUGCAUCAAAUCUUGUGAAUGACAAAGCUAGAGUGUAAAUUUAAGUUGAAGAAAUAUAAAACAAAAAAGAAAAUGGAUUGGCUCCUUUAAGAGUAUCAGACUUCUAAACCCCAAGGAUUACAUAAUUUUCAUAUCCUUUGCGAUACAAAGAAGUGGCAUAGCCUUAACAAUGAAGUGUUGGAAAAACUCCAGAAGGAAUGUGCCCAUCCAUGAAAUCCCAAAUCGGCUUGCUGUACCAUGCAGUAAUGUGUAUGUCCUUGAUGAUUAACAUAAUGAAAUCAUGGUUCUAGGCCUUGAAGGAAGGAAUAAGAGCGAAAGUGGAGCUAGCAACAAAAUUUGCAAUCAGUUAUCAGGAUGAGAAGUUUGAUGUACGUGGUGAUCCAGCCUAUGUGAGGGCUUGUUGUGAAGCGAGUUUGAAGCGGCUUGAUGUGGACUGCAUUGAUCUCUAUUAUCAACAUCGCAUUGAUACACGUGUGCCCAUUGAAGUCACGGUUUGCUCGUCUUGCCUUUCUUGUUUUUUAGCUCCACCUCAUUCUUGAUGAAACAAAAGUUUGAUCAACUCCAAAUUUUGAAUAAUUCAGUUUCAUGUCCGUUUCAAUUCUUCAAAAGUUGCACAGAAAAGUUAGUCAACCUUAUGGUCUCGGCUAAUCUGCAGUAUGGUAUAGCUGAUUUUGCACAAGGCAUCCUGAAAAGUGAAAACAAUGAAUAUGUCUUAUAUUAGCUUUGGCUGUCCUGCUGAGGGAUAUACAGGUGGAAAUCAUGCUAUACAUUGUACAGCUUUCCUUUAGAACCAAGAAACCCGAGCAUUCUCUUUCAAUUGAGAUAGGCUAUCUGGUUGAGUAAUGAUCUGCUAUUUACUUACCUUGUCAACCAUUUUCAGUUGGUGCCUAAAGCACUGCAGAUAGACAUUUAUUAUUGAUAUCUAAAAAACAUGGUACUCAUUUUGUCCAGAGCACAGCUUUUUGUCUAAUUGUCAAAGCCAGCUGCAACUGCCCCAUUGACCUCUCCAGACAAUUCAAAGAUUUCAGCAGCUUGCUUACAUUCAGCUUUUAUGAAACAAUUUCUGUCUUCUUUUUCUCAUGUAAUCAGCAAAGAAUUGUCUUGGUUUCCCUGAGUAUUAGAUAGAAACUUUCUUGCAGUUUAAUCACUCAAAAUACAAGCAAGUAUAAGGAAAUCAAGCAAAAUUGGCAACUGAUAAUUGGUAUGUACGGCCAUUAUUAUAUAUAGAAGUCAACAAUGCCAUGUAAUCAUAUUGGAGGAGCAUUAUGUUGGCAUGGUCCAGUAGAACUAAGUCCUCCGGUGGGCUGUACAUAGAGAACUAUCACUGGAUGCUGAUUGCCAUUUUCAUCAAUUAGUGAUUUCAGUUUGAUGUAUACUUUGUCCACGACAUCGUUGAACUAGUGCAACUUUUACUUUUUGCACGUAAUAUUUCGAUUAUCUGCCUAAGUGUUGAAUGUAAUAAAUCAGCUUAGCAUCUUCUUGUCCAUUGAAAUUCUCUAGAUAGGAGAGCUCAAGAAACUGGUUGAAGAGGGUAAAAUAAAGUAUAUAGGUCUGUCUGAGGCCUCAGCUUCAACAAUUCGAAGAGCACAUGCUGUUCAUCCAAUAACAGCUGUACAGUUGGAGUGGUCAUUGUGACCAGAGAUGUCGAGGAAGAGAUUAUUCCCACUUGCAGGUAGUGCAUAUAUUCUGCUGCAUUUUCUACAUGGUCUAGAAGAAAUAUUAAGUUCUCAAUUCAGUUUUUGGUAUAAUCUUUCAGAGAGCUUGGCAUAGGGAUUGUUGCAUACAGUCCACUUGGACGAGGUUUCUUCUCAUCAGGUCCAAAGCUGAUUGAGAAUUUGGCUGAAGGUGACUACCGAAAGGUUUGUGCAUAUCGAAAAAGAUGGAGUUUUUGAGUAUACAUUGUUUAUAGUUCGAAUAAGUUUCUCACUCAUCUAUUUUUACCACAUUCAGUGGCAAUCAUGCUUGAUAUCAAAAGAGGAAGAAACUAUGUCACUUUUUAAGUAAAAGUCUCUUUACGGUUUUGAAGGGAAAAGGACCUUAGACUUCAAUUUCAUCAUUUAAUCUCAGGCACAGAACUUAUGCUGUCCUGUGAAACUAUCAUUUUUCCUUUACCAUUAAUCCUAAAACUGAGUUUCAUUGGUCAGAAAUAUACUUCAUAGUAGUACCUCCUCUAGCGUUCAUCGUAGUACCUCCAUCGUUCAAACAAACAAAAAUUAGUUGAUUUGUAUUUUAAGUUUCCUCUUUGAUGGGAAAUGUAUCUCAGAACUUAACUCCAACGGUUGAUGCUUCCUCCGUGGAGUAUUCAGUCGAACUUGAUGCAUUGUUCUUUCCCCUGAACUUGUGCCCUUCAAACAGUAUUUCUGAUCAUCUUGAAGUAAUUAGUACCGUCUGUUCAUUACUCCCUCCCGAUUUCUUGCAUUAUAGCUUCCUCUUUAAUGGGAAAUGUAUCUCAGGAUCUACAUUCUACAAUUGAGGUUUCUUAGAGUACUCAGUCCACCUUACUGGAUUGUUCCUUCCCCUGAACUUUGUACACCUUAAACAAUACUAUCGAUCAUUUUGAAGUUAUUCAUAUUGUCUUCAUUUGUAGAUGACACAUGCUUUGCUCCCUUUUGAAUUUCUGGCAUUACAGUUGCUUAAAUUUUGAAAUUCAUACAAUGUAGGAUAUGCCAAGGUUUCAAGCAGAGAAUUUGGAGCAGAACAAGAACUUGUAUGAGCGGGUCAAUGCCAUUGCUUCAAGAAGGGUUGUACUCCAUCACAGCUAGCAUUGGCCUGGGUCCAUCACCAAGGCAAUGAUGUUUGCCCCAUACCUGGCACUACCAAGAUUGAGAACCUCAAUCAGAAUAUAGGAGCUUUGUCUGUAAAACUGUCAGCAGAGGAAAUGGCGGAACUUGAAUCUUUUGCUUCUGCGGGAGUCAAGGGUGAUAGGUAUGGGCCUGGCCUUGGUACUUGGCAAACUUCUGAAACUCCACCUUUGUCAACCUGGAAGAGAACAUGAAGACAUACUUUGUUAUUGCAAUAAUUCCUUCUAGCUAUGUGCCUGAUGGUGGAUUCCACUAUAUUAAGAGUUGAGUGAUAUGUAUUUGUUCCAAUAAAGUUUGACAUACUAUUGUCUCUAGGGUUAAGGCAAGUAAAGUUAUAAGAAGAAUGGAGUUUCUUCAGAGGUUGUAAUGAAUAAAUAUCUGGUCAUGUAAAAGCAGAAUAUAAUUUUCCUUGCAGUUGAAUGCAUUAAAGGUUAUAUAUUGUACUUUUGAAUGCUAUAGUGGUCCAUUUUUUAUGUGCUACUGCUACGAGAGUUAUAGAUUGUCGAACAGCAUUCAAUUCAGGACUUAUUAAACAUAAGCAUAUAAACAUUUUAUGCUCGGAAUAUUUACAUCAAAAGAAACUCCAAGGUCACAUCAUUGUAAAGUGUAAACUACAUCAUAUUAACAAAAAGCAAAAAAAAAAAAAAAAAGGUCUAAAUGAGGAAAAAAAUGUACUAUAGAAGUAGUCAACAAUGUCAUGUAAUCAUUUGAUCCUAAAAUUGAGAUUAAAAUUUAGUUGAUUUGUAUUUUGAGUUUCAUCUUUGAUGGGAAAUGUAUCUCAGAACUCAACUCCAAUAGUUGAUGUUUCCUACUUGGAGUACUCAGUCCACCUUGAUGCAUUGAUCUUUCCCCUGAACUUGUGCCCGUCAAACAAUAUUUCUGAUCAUCUUGAAGUAAUUAGUACCAUCUGUUCAUUACUCCCUUUUGAUUUCUUGCAUUAUAGUUUCCUCUUUAAUGGGAAAUGUAUGUCAAGAUCUACCUUCUACAAUUGAGAUUUCUUAGAGUACUCAGUCCACCUUACUAGAUUGUUCUUUUCCGUGAACUUUGUUCACUUCAAACAUUACUAUGAUCAUCUUGAAGUUAUUCGUAUUGUUGUCUUUUGUAGACGACACAUGCUUUACUAAUUACUGCACUUUGAAUUUCUGCAUUGCAGUUGCUUAAAUUUUGAAAUUCAUACAAUUUAGAAUAUGCCAAGGUUUCAAGUAGAGAAUUUGGAGCACAACAAGAAGUUGUAUGAGCGGGGUCAAUGCCAUUGCUUCAAGGAAGAGUUGUACUCCAUCACAGCAAGCGUUGGCCUGGGUCCAUACCAAGGCAAUGAUGUUUGUCCCAUAACUAGCACUACCAAGAUUGGAAACCUCAAUCAGAAUAUAGGAGCUUUGUCUGUAAAACUGUCAGCAGAAGAUAUGGCUGAACUUGAAUCUAUUGCAUCAGCUAGAGUCAAGGGUGAUAGAUAUGAUCCUGGCCGUAUCAAGGGCAGAGGUUAUGGGAUCUGAUUAUGGGCAACUGAUUAUGGAAUCUAUUCUAUCAUAAUUGCAAAGAUUAUGACUGAAAUUAUGGGAUCUGCUCUAUCAUGUAUAUUAGCUGUAUAUUAGCAUAUGUGUCAUUAAUAUAUCAGAUAGGUAGAUAUAUUCUUACAUAGAAUAGAAUGUACAGAGUUUCUAUUUAAUGGAAAAGAUGCACAAAAGACAGCAUUCAGUCUUUGAUCUAGAAAAUUGUCAUGGUAUCAGAGCUGGUUAUUUGAAUUUCUGUGUCUUUCAAAAUUUGCUGAGUUGUUAUUCUUCUUGGGUUGAUUAUUUUGAUCAAUCAUUUGGUUUCAAGAUAUCAUUUUGGGUCAAUCAUAUUGUGGUUGGCAGCCUUUCUUGUAAUUCAGAUCUUUGUUUUUUUGAAAGUAUGUCUGUGGCAAACUCUUUGGGAAAAACACAUACGGAAUCUUUGUCUAUCAAGUUCAUUGGGAAAAAUUAUGCAGCAUGGGAUUUAGAAUGUUUCUAAAGGCAAAGAGCUUUGGAGUCAUAUUGAUGGGUCUUCUACAGAACCUAGAGAUGGAAAAGAAUUUAGUCAAUGGGAGGCAAAGGAUGCUAGAAUUAUUUCUUGGAUUCUAGCAUCUAUUGAAGCUCAUAUGGUGAAUAAUUUACACUCCUUUAAUACAGCAAAGGAGAUGUAGGAUCAUUUGAAGCGUGUAUAUCAUCAAGAUAAUACAGCAAGAAGAUUUCAACUUGAAUUGGAAAUUAGUAACUACGGCCAAGAUAACCUCUCUAUUAAGCAGUAUUAUUCUGGAUUUUUUAAUUUAUGGAGCGAAUACUCUGGUAUAAUCUAUUCUAAGGUACCAAGCGAAGCCUUAGCUGGUAUUCAAGCAGUUCAUGAAGUUAGUAAGCGUGACCAGUUUCUAAUGAAACUAAAGCUUGAAUUUGAAGCGGUCAGAGCUGGAUUGUUAAAUAGAAAUCCAAUUCCUUCUUUAGAUGUAUGUCUUGGUGACUUGUUGCAAGAAGAACUGAGAAUGGCUACACAAACUAUCAUAGGUGCAUCGAAGGAGAUAUCCGAAGUUGUCAAUAUUGCCUAUGCUGCUCAAGGGAGGAAUCGCGAAAAGGGACAAGUACAGUGCUUAAAAGCAGUCUGUUUGCCAGACACAUGGUGAGCCACAUUUAAAAAUUGGUUUCUAUCAUAAAGCCUAUCAUGUCCGGACAGAAGAUGGACUGUUUUUUAAAUUUUUUAUGAAAGCAAGUGAAAAGUGUUGCAACUCAGGACUUGGAUGGUAAUUCUAAAAUUUAUUAGUGCACCUACCUUUUAACUUUUGGUGUGCUUUUAAGGUAUCAAAUGGGGGAAAAAAAACCAACACCAUAUAACUUCAAAUGCAAGAUGGUACGAAAUUUGUAUCCAUUGACAUGUAAAAAGUGCACCGUUCAUCACAAAGAUAUUUAUCCUAAUAUUUAGAUUCAUUUUUUCAAAAAUUUCAACUUUGCAUGCAAACAUGUAAUCAAUAUGCAUAAAUAGAUAGCAUUAGAUGAAUUUAAACAAGUAGCCUUCAAAUUUAAAAUAUAUUGAUUUCAUAAAGGUGCAUUCGCAAUUUAGAAAAGGACUUUUCAAAUGGCAAAUCUAGAGAGCAAUAAAUACUCCUACUUUAUUUUGAUUUCAAAUCUUAUUUUGACUUGUCAAAAAAGUGAAACACGAAACCAAUAAUGGUCGAUACAAGGCUAAUUACUCAGAAUAUCGAUGUAAAAAUAUUGGACAUAUAUGAUUUUGACAAUGGGCAUGUAUAAAACUAUUGCUGUAAGGUUGUGUCAGCCCGGCAGCAAAAGAGGGUUUUUUUUAAAGCCUGCCAUUGCCACCGAGCUGACACGGCUCGGCAGCAAUAGUUUAAUUUUUUUUAAACGCUGCCGGGCCUUGUCAGCCAGAUAGAACAAAAAAAAAAAAUUUUUUUUAAACACAGCCGGCAGCGGGCAACAUUUGCAAAAAACUUUAAAAAGCUGGCUGCCGGGCUACGACAGUUCAAAAGAUUUUGCUAUCCGCCUACAACACCAGGUGAUAAAGAUAAGGGCAAAGGCGUACCGGGCAUUGAUAUGAUCAUUUCCGGUGCAUGUUUUAAAAUUUCAAAUAUUUGAAUAUGGGGAUUUAGCGUUAUUUUAAUCUUUUAUUAUUAUAAUGCUUGUCGUUAUUUUUAAAUUUCACAAUUUCAGCAUGUCAUGUUGCAUUUUUCCUUCUUUUUUUUUUUGCCUAUUUUGUUUUUAUAUUGCACAAUAACUUUAUAUUUAUAAAAUUAUAUUGUACAUUAAAAAUUACAUAAUAAUUUUAACAAACAAUUUUCCGGUACAAUUUGAAAACUGCAUCUUAUUGUAAAAUGAAAGAGAUUUUUUGUUUAAAAAAACCUUUUUUUAGUUUUUUACCUAUCGGAGUAAUUAUUAAUUUUACAAAUCUGUUUUCAUCUUUUUCUUACGUUCCAACUUUGAAACGUAAUUUAAUUAACUUAAAAGACUGUCGGGUUUAGUAUGUCAGGUAUCACACUUGUUGUAAUUAAAAAAAAUUUUCUUCUUAUUUUUUCAUUUUUUUGUUUUUAUAUUGCAAAAUAAAUUUAUACAUUUUUUCGAUUUUUCUAUACAAUUUAUAACAAAAAAAAAUAAUAUCAAAUAUUAUACAUUGUAAUUUUAACAAUUAUUUUGCAACGGUUUAAAAAACCUUUUUUAGUUUAACAUCCUAUAUAUUUUACGAAAAUGAUUUGAAUAUUUUUUAAUCAUUUAAAGAAAAGAUAGAUUUCUACAAUUACUAUUUUUUAAAUUUUAAUCCUUAAGAUAAAGAUUUUUGCGGGAAAGAUGAAGAUUUAAAGAAACAAUAAAGAGGCAAAGAAAAUAAAAGAGAAAAAUAGGAGAGGUAAUUUUGUCCAAUGGAGGAUAUAAUGAGACAGAAAAAUUCCGAUGAGGAUAAAGUAAAAAAAGAGAUAUAUUUUAAGGACAUUAAUUGUGAUUAACCCUAUUUCUUAUGCUCAAUUUGUAACUGGUCCAAAGCAUCAAAAGUAGCGUCCGCCUCCCAGGUGAUGAAUUCAUGGUCUUGAAUGUCCAAUAACCUAAGAAGAGUAAAAAGAUCACUUUAAAGUUGCUCCACACCCUACAAAUGCUUCUGAUACUAACUUUCUCGUCAUAUUAACAAAUGCUCCGCACCUUAAUGCUUCAGCACCCGUAAAAAACGUGUUUUUGCAACUGGUCCAAGAGUUGAACCCUUCGCUCAGAGUUACUUCUGGAUGUUGAAAAAAAACAUUUCGAUCACUUGAAUCUAACCUCCGCGUCUAAUCAAGCCAGAAGGCCAGCUUUUUUUUCACUGACCCUUCACGUGAACCUUCUGAGAACUUAUCUCAAGGGAAACUUUUAGUGGUUCAGUAGAAUUUUUUUUAAUCCUCUUACAUGUUUCAUUCGUAUCUCUCUACUUCAUGUCCGUGCAUUGUUGAAUUCUGAAGUGCAGGUCUUCUUUCGCCCGUAUUGUUAACCUUCUUUUUCAUGUUCAUUGAAGCACAGCAUUCUUUUUUUUUGAAAUUUUUUUUAAAAUUGGACUAGCUGCUGGACUGAGCUUUUUAAAGUUUUUUGCAGAUGUGCGUCAGCCCGGCAGCCAGCGAAUUAAGAAAAAAAAAAUUUUUUUGAGGCCGGCAGCGUUUAAAAAAAAAAAACUAUUGCUACCGGGCAAGCUUUAAAAAAAAAAAAAAAACCCUAACAGCAAUAUUUUUAUACAUGCCCAUUGUCAGAACCAUAUAUGUCCAAUUUUUUUUUCAUCGAUAUUCUGAGUAAUUAGCUGAGAUAGAGAGGAGUAUUAGAAAUUUGUUUUCUAGAUUCUUUGGUCUCCCAAUUUUUUCAACGGUCAACUCCGAUCAUUAUUAUCACAGUCAUGUGAUUGUAGGUCUACCACGCUUCAUAGUCCACAACGUGGAUUGGCACCACAAAGGAUGGUUUCAAAACACCAUUUUAGUCUAGUAAGGAUUGUGUAUAUAACACAAGUCUUUUUAGGUUUUCCCUCCCCUGUAAUCUAAAAUAAAAUAAAUAGGUUAUACAAUUGUUAUAGUCUUCAGAAAAAAAGGAUAGGUCCCACCCUAUUAUUAUUAUUUUUCUUUUAUAAUCAACAACGCCUAUUCUACACCUAUUUCAACUUCUAUUCUAGGGGAACGGGAGUUCAACUGAAAAAUUAAUGGUGAUUGAACCACGAACGGACCAAAAACUUUCAAGAUAAAAUUUGAUCUAAAAAUAAAUAAUAAUAUAUUAACUUAUUAUUUAAUGCGAUACAUAUUCAAAUAUAUUAAAUUUAAUAAUUUAAUAAAUUUUAAAUUUUACAUUUUAAAUUUUAAUUUUCAACCUUCAAUGUUGCCGUACUUACAACAACAACUUCUAGAUGGUCAACACUUAGAGUCGUAGCCCUUGCUUUUGGCAUACCCUAGUCCCUAUUUCUGUUGUUAUCAAUGAGGAAGCAAAUGUCUGCUAUUAAUUACACGAGACAUCAGUAGGUUUGUUUGGAUUGGAGGUUAUUUGAAAUAUUUUUUGAGAUAAUUAAUGUAGUACUUUUUGUGAUGUAAUGUAUAUAAGAUAAAAUUGUGAUUGGAAAUUGUGUGGAUGCAAAACAAAAUUUUGAAAUUUUUUUUUGAAAACCUUAAUAUUAUUGGCUGCACUACAAAUCAGUCAAAACUCAAGAGAUGAUAUUAAUUGAAACAAGUGGGCAAAUUGAACGAGGAUGCGUAAUUGACAUGGAAGUCUUGGUAGACUUGGAGGUAGGCUUGUCAACGGAUUGGGUCUGGGUCGGAAUUCAUUAUUCUGGACCCGGAUCCGACAUACUAUAUUGGACUCGGAUUCGACCCAUUUAUUCGACGGGCCUUCUACUCUAUAUUCUGAAUCCGGAUCCGACGGGUCUCGGAUUCGGGUCGAGUCUACCCGAAAAAAUCUAUCAAAACUUACAAAUUCUAAUAAAAAUGAGAAAAAAAUAUAUUUGUAAACCAAUUUUUAACUAAUAAAAAAAAUCAAAUAAGAAAAAAAAUCAAAUUGACUUUACUCAAAUACAUCACCCUAAUCAAAUUAUAUUGAUAAAUAUAUAUAUAUUUAAAUUGUUAAUCCAUUUAUAUCCGAAUCCGGGUCUAAUACGGGUCGAAAUAUUAUAUUCCGUAUUCGACCCGUUUUUUGUUUGAUAAAACGGAUCCGGAUCCGGGGUCCGAGUAAUGGAAUUAAAUCCCUACUCGUACCCACAAUAAUUUGACGGAUUCGAUCCGGAUCCGGAUCUAGACUCGAACUGUUGACAGGCCUACUUGGAGGGAUCAACAUUUGAAUCUGACUUGGAUGAGGUAAGCACAAAGGUAAGCAUUUUCCAUUUUUAUUUUGGUUUUCAUUUCUUGUAUACUUUAAAACGUUUUUCAUUCUACCUCACUCACAUAUAAUAUAUAAUGAAAUGUAAAUUUUUUAUGAAAACAUAUAAAAUAUAUAAAAUGAAAAAUAAAUUUUUAUAAAAACAUAUGUUUAUAUUUUUCUUUGUAUAAUGAAAAUUUAUAAUUCAUUCUACCAAUAUAUACGCAUAUAUAUAUAUAUAUAUAUAUGUAUAAUGAAAAAUAAAUUUCUUCUUCAUCUUUAGGGCUGCACCUACAAACAACAAAACUCAGCUCCACUCAACUCUUUCCUUCAUGUUUUUUAUAAAAAACAUAUAUAUAUAUAUAUAUAUAUAUAUAUAUAUAUAUAUAUAUAUAUAUAUAUAUUAAGUUACACUAAUUGUUUUAUCUCUUAAUAAUUUUUAUUUUUUUUACUAAUAUUACCUCAUGAGAGGCAAAAAGGGUAUAAAUGGAACAAAAUUAUUAUCUCAUUUUCCAAAAGAAUUUUUUAAUGGUACUUUUUCUAACAUGGGUUGAAGCUACUAUCAAAAUCUAGUUUAGGGAAAGUUAGUGCUAUUUUUUAAAUUUUAGGGUAGAUGAGUACAACUGUUAGAAACCUCAAAAAGGGAUGGUUUCUGCAAUUAUCCCUAAAAGCAUAGACCAAGACUACACUAAACACUAAAAAUUUGACACCUAUUUCUUAUAACUAUACUAGAUAAUCUCAUAAUUAUAUAGAAAAAUAAAUCAAAAUUCAUUACACAAAAGCAUUUUUGGAUAUUUAUUUAAGAAUUUGAUCAAAUUAAUAUUAUUUUAAAGUUUUAUUACAAAAACUAUCAAAUUAAAGGAGGUAGGGGUAAUGUUUCAAACCUCACAGUGAAAUUGUUAGAAACCUCAAAGAGGUUCUUGAUAUUAUCCCUAAUUUUUUUGGGUACAAAAACCUCCAAAAAAGUGGCAGUUCAAACGGGGCCAACAUUCUCCUAUCAUCACAAGUCCUCCCGCUGACCCACUAGCCGCCGGCGGCCCUGGGUCAUCUAUUAAAGGCUUAAAGCAUAGACCAAGACUGCAGUAAUCCCUCAUAUACACAUGUUAACUAGAGGGGUCAAUCACAACCCAAUUAUAUUGAUCUGUUCAAACCCGUUCACUAAUAAUCCUUUCAAAUUCGCCCAUUAAAAUUUAAAUGGGUCUAAGUGAGUACCUAAUUAAACCCAUUUAAUUGAUGGAUAGUUGAUUGAUUCAACUCACCCAUUUAUACCCAUUUAAAAAUAAAUAUAUGACAGGGUGUCGAGCCUGUGCAAUAAUAAUUAUCUACUCAAGAAAAACACAAAUUCUGUAUAUAGCAGUGAGUAGAGUCGAAUCCACACGGACUGUAGAUAAUUCGUUUCUUUUAGAGUCCAAAGUAUGGGGGUUUUGGAGAAUAUAAAAUAACUAAUUAACUAACUAAUAAAACAACUAAUAGAAAUAAAUAGAAAUUAAUCAAUAACCAAUAUGACUCUAGCCAAAGGUGCAACUUUUCAGACACGGUCCAUUCAACUGAUCAUCGAUGCAAAGAUAAUUCAAUUACUCAUUACUAGAUUGGUUAUAAUUGUCAUACACGCGAUGAACAACCAGCCUUUUCUUAAUUUCUCGAUAGUUAAAGUACGACCGUUAACUAUUUCUCUAACCAAGUAAUAACCCUAGGUACGACCAUAGGAUUUAAUUACUCGAUUACAUUAAUAAUUAGAAAAACCCAACCCUAACCAACAAACACGCUACGAGGGUUUGUUUAAAUUAGAUCAUACGUUUCCCUAACAUGAAACCAAUCACGCUAGUCGCCACUGGUAUUAAUCAAUUGAACAAUUACGGAUUCAAUCAAUUAAUUUAGCAUUAGAUCAUUAAGUUAAUUUGAAUAUCGGGCCCUUGACAUUCAAAUAACAUAACAAACAUAAGCAAUUAAAUCAGGAAACGUAAAAAUACCAAUGAAUAAAAGAAAUAAAUAAAAUUAAUUCGAUCUCACAGAUAUUUGGAACCGCGCCUUCAAAUUGGCCUUCGACUAGAUGAAAGGUUUAGUUCAUCUACAUGGAGGAAACCCCAUGUGAAAUUGCAGAAGUAAUUAUUCUAAAACAAAGCUAUGUUUUCGUCCUCCAUUGAAGAAAACGGCAAAGCUAUAUAUAAAGUAAUGAAUACGAAGGAACUACCUAGAAGCAAAAACAAAACGAAGCUCUCCUAUUCUAAAACAAAAACUACUUGUCUAGUGGUCCCCGCCGAAUUUAGAUAAAAGGGUGCAAUCCGUCAGAUCAAGCUUUGCCGACUUUUUCUCCUCUUUGUUGCCUAUUGCUAGGCAAAGACUUCAGUGCCCAGACCAUUCCUAAUCAGUGAAAAGAAAAUGCACUCCCUCUGCCGCACUCUGUGGGCCAGGUUGUUGAAGCUCUUUGGAGUCUCCUAUGUGUGGAGCUGUUUUAUCCUUCAGAUGGUCUCGCUCUUUUUUUUCUUUUUAUUUUCUUUUGUGUACUUUUCUGCUCCAUUCCUGAAAUGAGAUCCAAAUACCAAAUAUAAAUAUAUAUUAACAAUUAAACAAUAUUUAGUAAGGACAGAGGGGAAAUUAAUAAUAAAAUAAUCAAUAAUUAACACCCUAUCAAUUCCCCCCACACCUAAAUCAUACUUGCCCUCAAGCAUGGGGACGACAAAUAACACCAAAAUUUGAAAAUGGGUAUUGCCCCAUCUACCCUAUUGUCAAGAUACCAAGGAAAACAUCUAUCAAGCAUCAGUGAUCAGGGUUCAAGAAACAUCACCCCAAUUAGCUUCUAAACCACAAACUCCUCCAAUUUAAGACAAACUAAUCUAAGAAAAAGGAAUGGUUGCUCACAUUUAUCAACAAAUGGUCCAACUAUUAACUAAAAUCUCGAUAUUAAGAUCACAAACCGGCAAGCUGACUUAUUCACAUACUAACACAAUCUUUACUUUACUUCUUUUUUUUUUUUUUUUGAAUAACAAAAGACUUAGUCUAUAGCCCUUAGAGCCUUUUGACGCGAACUCCAACAUUUGCCAGAUGGAGAAGCCCGGUUUCUCAGCUCCAAUCGCUACGGGACCACGCACUCAUAGUAACUACUACCUUUUGAGGCGAAAAUCGACACUUUAGGUCAAGAUCCCCGAUCACUCAGUAGUAACCACUAGCGGAGUACAGUCAACUCUUAUUUACAACCAUAUAGCACGAUAACUAAAAAUAACAGCAGGCAGCCUCAAAUUUCCAAACAUGGAGAACUAAAAUUAAUAACUGGACCAAUUCACAUGAAAAAUGCCAACAAUCAUUCCCUAUGCCUAGAAAAGUUAACCAAAAAUUAGAAAAGUCAAGCAAUUACUGAUAUUCACAUGAAAAGUCAAGCAGAAGUAAGCAAAAGAGCAACUGUACUUCCCUGAAAUCACGGGGGGCAUGGCGGGGCCACAGCAGUGGGUGAGGCCGGAAAUGGUUGAUUUGGGUUGGGGUAGGCUAAGGUCGAGAGGUUCCGGACCUAGAAGAGGACUUUGAUCUCACCAUCGUCGCUAACAGGUAACCCAAUCAACAGAAACAAAAUUGCCAACAGAUAGAGGAACAAGUAAAUCUAGAUCAAUAGAAAUCAAUAUCCUCAAGUGAAGUCAACAAUCAACCCAAUAAGCACAGGUAUCUUCCAAUUUAAAAGGGUAGUGCACAAUAAAUGGCCCACCAAAUUUGCAAUGUAAAGCCCUGAGCAAUUCAAUCAAUACCAGAAAAUCGCCCCAAACAAUGUAACAGUUAAACUCCAUGGGCCAUGGACGUCCAACCAAUUUCACUCGAACAAACUAUGAGCAGUGCGAGUGACGAAACAAAGCAACAAAUUUCAGCAAUUAGACACAAUUCCACUCAAAAUCUCAACAAAUAUCUCCAAUGGACAGUCUUACACAACUUAACCAACUGGAAUUAGCAAAUAUCCCCAAGAAACUGACAAAACAAGCAAUAGUAGUUCAAAAUUUGGACUACAACUAAAUCAAAAUGUUGUUUCAGUUUUCAAUCAGGUAGCCAACCAAGUAGAAUCAAUAAAUGUAGACAAAAUACCCCAACCAGUACCACUGGUGUAUUCCACAGAAAAGAAUUAAUUCAAAUGCCAAUCCAAACGACUGAGAAACCCUAACCAAGACCAAACCGUACCAGAAAUUAGAAGAAAUGAAAAUGGGAAUCAAUUGGCAAGCAACUCCCAAAUCAACCCCAAAGAACUCCCAAAUAAAUGAAUUAUCAGAGGUGCCUUCAAAAACCAAAUACCAAAAAUGCAUAAAAACUCCCAACCAAUUCAACGGGAAAAACAAAAUUAAGCAAAUCACCUCCUGUGUUUAUCCAUCAAGGAACAACCCAAAAGCACAAAUUCCAGUAACUGAGGAUUCAGGAAAAAUGCCAAAACAAGGGUAGAAAGUUAAUACCUCCACCUGUCAAUUUUGACAGGUAGUGAUGCGCGGCAAGGAGGUGGCGCACGAGGUGGUGGCGAGCUUUGGAAGAUGAGUUGGCGAUAGAGGCUGUCAGCUACGCGUGCGACUGUGCGCACAAUGGGAGGAGAGAGGCGCGGCGAGCUGGUGGACAGCAGCAGCGGCACGGGCUGGUGGCAGUGGCUGUGGAGCGUGGGCAGGCGGCGGUGCGCAGCUGGUCAACGAAGGAGGAGAUGGGCGGCGCUCGGGCUAAGGAGAGAGUGAUUUGGGGGCUGUGGCGGCGUGGGGUGGAGUUGCGGCGGCGGUCAAAGGCACUGGUGAGUGGAGGUGGCGGGAUGGAGCUUGGAACGGAGGAGCUCAGCGAGCUGUGGGUGGACGGCCGUGGGCAGGGGAGCAGCGGCGGCCUUUGGAGCUGCUGAAGGUGGUCCGUGAGGUGGAGCUUGGAGCUCGGAGGCGGCGGCGAUGGAAGCUAGUCAGCGGCGUGCGGCAAUGGAUGAGAAAGGGAGACUGGUGGCGUCGGGCUAAGGAGAGAGUAAGGGAGAUGAUGGCGGAUGAGCGAAAGAAAAGAAGGAAAGGGAUACAGGGCAGCGAGGAAGAAGAGGAAGAAAAGGGAAAGAAAGGAAAGAAAAAAGAGAAGAAAAAGGAAAAAGAAAAGAGAGAAAGAAAAAAAGAAAAUAAAAUGGUUUUGGGGUUUUUUUUCAAUAUUUUUUUUUCAAUUUUUUCCCUAAUUUAAAUUUUCAAAAUUUGAAUUUUUGAAGAAAAAAAGAAAGAAAAAUGCUCUUUGAAUUUUUGAAUUUUCUCAAUGUGAAAUUUUAAAUUUUUUUUUGGUUUUGGAUCGUCAAACACCGCGUGAGCACGCCAAGAUUACACUUCCUGGUCACAGUAGAGGAAAAUAUUAAGACGACUACCACCCAAAUGAGAAAUGACAAAAUGAAAGUAAUGAACAAUGAAAAACGAUAAAACUAAUAUUUGGGUUGCCUCCCAAAAAGCGCCUUUCUUUUAUGUCUUUGGCCAGACAUUGCCAUAUUUGUUUAGGGAGGAUAAAAUCUUGUACCUCGGUUUAAUGUUUCAUCCUCUAUAUAGUCCUGAUAACCCUCGUAAAUAGAGUAAUUCUUGAACACAUGAGCUACGGUCUUCCCUGGACUAGUAAAUGGUGCCAAACAAGUCAACAAUAAGUUGAAUUUUCCAUUCACUCCUCCAUCACUUGCAUUUAUUGGUUUAAGAUAUCUUGCCAUCGCCACUCUUAAUUUAUUUCUGUCAUGAAAUUCGAAAUUUUCUGAUAUAAUAAAAUCAAUUUCAUUAACAGGAAUUGAAGAAUAAGAGUUAGAAGAAUAUUGAUGAAGGAAUGCGAUGUCACCGCAUUUGAAGAUUGUUCACUGGUUUCAUUCACUUGAACGAGUUGAUACUGGGGCAUUAUUUCUUGCACUUCACCUUUUUUUUCAACUGCAUCUUUAGAUCCGUUUUCUUGAAACUCUUGCAGUUCCAUGUCAUUUGACGGGAUAACUGCACUCUCAUCCUCUUCAAGGUUGAUAUUGGUUUGUGAGGGCAAUUCUUCAAGGUGAGAAGCUAAUCGCUCUAUCCUGGAUGUCAAUUGAUUCAUUUGAUCCGCCGGAUCCCUAAUGCUCGCUUGUGUCUCCUGAUGAAAUCGAUAUGUAUUAGUAGCAAAUAAUUCAAUCAAUUCCUGAAGAGACAUACCUGACAUGGAUGAUGGCUGUUGAGAUUCUUGCUGUUGAAAAUCCAUUGGCCCGGUCGCAUAAUUAAAAUUGGAAUCAUCCCACCAUCCUUGAUCAUACCCGUUUGAAUAAGGAUCGUACCACGUUUGAAAUCGAGGUGAAAAAUCUCCAAAAGUAUCAAUUGGAGCACUUAGAUUAUCUUGAAAUGCGGGGCAUGUGUCGGUUGAGUAACCUGAGUCAAAAUAAGUUCCACAAUUUGCAACAGUCCAUUGACCAUUAGGAAAAACUCGAGUCUCAUAACCUCAUUCGGGAAUAAAGUCCAGUCUAUCAUCAAAAUAUGGAAUGUUAGCUACCAUAAACUAUAUAUAACAAAAAAGAGAAAAAAAAAAAACAAGAUGAACUAAAAAAAAACAAAUUAAUUAGGCACCAGUCCCCGGCAAUGGCGCCAAAAAUUGACAGGGUGUCGAGCCUGUGCAAUAAUAAUUACCUACUCAAGAAAAACAUAAAUUCUGUAUAUAGCGGUGAGCAGGGUCGAAUCCACAGGGAUUGGAGAUAAUUCGUUUCUUUUAGAGUCCAAAGUAUGGGGGGGGAGUUUUUUGGAGAAUAUAAAAUAACUAAUUAACUAACUAAUAAAACAACUAAUAGAAAUAAAUAGAAAUUAAUCAAUUACCAAUAUGACUCUAGUCAAAAGUGCAACUUUUCAGAUACGGUCCAUUCAACUGAUCAUCGAUGCAAAGAUAAUUCAAUUACUCAUUACUAGAUUGGUUAUAGUUGUCAUACACGUGAUGAACAACCAGCCUUUUCUUAAUUUCUCGAUAGUUAAGGUACGACCGUUAACUAUUUUUCUAACCAAGUAAUAACCCUAGGUACGACCAUAGGAUUUAAUUACUCGAUUGCGUUAAUAAUUAGAAAAGCCCAACUCUAACCAACAAACACGCUACGAGGGUUUGUUUAAGUUAGAUCAUACGUUUCCCUAACAUGAAACCAAUCACGCUAGUCGCCACUGGUAUUAAUCAAUUGAACAAUUACGGAUUCAAUCAAUUAAUUUAGAAUUAGAUCAUUAAGUUAAUUCGAAUAUCGGGCCCUUGACAUUCAAAUAACAUAACAAACAUAAGCAAUUAAAUCAGGAAACGUACAAAUACCAAUGAAUAAAAGAAAUAAAUAAAAUUAAUUCGAUCUCACAGAUAUUUGGAACCGCGUCUUCAAAUUGACUUUCGACUAGAUAAAAGGCUUAGUUCAUCUACAUGGAGGAAACUCCAUGCGAAAUUGUAUAAGUAAUUAUUCUAAACAAAGCUAUGUUUUCGUCCUCCAUAGAAGAAAACGGCAAAGCUAUAUAUAAAGUAAUGAAUACGAAGGAACUACCUAGAAGCAAAAACAAAACGAAGCUCUCCUAUUCUAAAACAAAAACUACUUGUCUAGUGGUCCCCGCCGAAUUUAGAUAAAAAGGUGCAAUCUGUCAGAUCAAGCUCUGCCGACUUUUUCUCCUCUUAGUUGCCUAUUGCUAGGCAAAGACUUCAGUGCCCAGACCAUUCCUAAUCAGUGGAAAGAAAAUGCACUCCCUCUGCUGCACUCUGUGGGCUAGGUUGUUGAAGCUCUUUGGAGUCUCCCAUGUGUGGAGCUGUUUUAUCCUUCAGAUGGUCUCCCUCUUUUUUUUCUUUUUAUUUUCUUUUGUAUACUUUUCUGCUCCAUUCCUGAAAUGAGAUUCAAAUACUAAAUAUAAAUAUAUAUUAACAAUUAAACAAUAUUUAGUAAGGAUAGAGAGAAAAUUAAUAAUAAAAUAAUCAAUAAUUAACACCCUAUCAAUAUACAUUUAAGCUCAAUUUUUACUAAGUGUUAAGAUGAUAAAUUUGAAUUUCCUAUGACUCUAAUAACAAUAAAAUAUCAUUUUUCUUGUCAAACAACAUGCAAAAAACAAAAAAAGGUAGAAUUUCAAAUUAAUCAUAAAUGGGUAAUUGAGUAUUCUCAUGUCUAUUUGUUAAAUUGAUAUAAAUGAAUUGAUUCAAUUAUAACUAUUACUCAACUAGAAUCCGCUCAAACCCGUUUAAGUUAAUCAUUUUGACACCCCUAAUGUUAAUAUAUAUUGACAAGUGAAAAGUGCAGCAUUUAUCACGAAGAUAUACUUAUUUAUUUUAAUAUUAAAGUCAUUUUUUCAUUACAAAAAUAUUGAUAAUUUCAUAAUUUCAUGGAAGUAUGUAACCAGUGACAUAACAUAGUCGCCAGUGGCGAAUCUUGUCACGAGCCUUCUUUUCAACGCUUUGAUUAUGGCAUACACCUUUAACAAUAUGCCCCCACGUUGUCUUUCGAUCACUUUUUUUUUUUUUUUUAACCUCACAUUCGUUCGUUAUGUAUGUAUAAUUUCUUUACAAAAAAGUGAAAAACUCCAAAAACGUGGCAGCUCAAACGGGGCCAACAAUCUACUAUGUUCGCCUGUUCUCCCCGGACCCACCAGCCGCGGCGGCCAUGGGUCAUCUAUAAAAGCAUAGAUCAAGACUACACUAAUCCCUCAUCAGUCCAAUCCAUCCAUACUUCUUCUUCAGGCCUCAGCUACUAAACAAUAAACUCUGCUCCACUCAAUUCUUUCCUCUGUUUCUUGUGGUUUUUGUCUGAAAAUGGCGGCAUCAGAAGAAGUGAAAGUGCCAAGAAUCAAGCUGGGGUCGCAAGGUUUUGAAGUUUCAGCUCAAGGGCUGGGCUGCAUGGGCAUGUCAGCCUUCUACGGGCCGCCAAAGCCCGAGCCUGAUAUGAUCAAACUCAUUCACCAUGCUAUUAGCAGAGGCAUCACCCAUCUUGACACCUCCGAUAUGUAUGGACCUCACACCAACGAAAUACUCAUUGGCAAGGUACCGUAUUUGCAAAUUUUCUGCUGUUGUGUGCUAUGCAUAAACUCUUGUACUUCUAAUUUCUAAAAGAGCAUAUUUGUAAGUAUUUUAUUUGGGUAUAUUAUAUUUAACCCCCUGCACUUGAAAUCUUUGUCUCCCUUUGUGCCCCUUAAUUUUGUUUGUCAGCACUUAAACUCCAUCUGUUUAAAUUAUAAGUAUUAUUAGUCAAAUAAGACAAUAAUAUUCUUCAUUUCUUCUUCUUCUUCUUCUUCUUCUUCAUUUUUCAGAUGUUUGUCCUCAAUUGUAAGAGAAGGUCGUAGGUCUAGCACAUACGUUGAGUAGCUGUAUCCGAUUAGAAGGAUUUAGAUCAUAAUGGAGUUGGUAAAAUAGUACUAUUUUCGUCUUUGAAGUUAAAAUUGUCAUCAAUUUAUGGAAAGUUUACUAUUUCUCUGAUAAGAGAUGGUAAAAUUUACUUUUUACGAGCACUAAAGUUUUAAAGAUUAUGAAAAGAGAAUUGUACGAAUGAAUAUAAGGGAAAAGAAAGGUAAGAAAUAUGGAUUGUGUUUGGAUUGAUUUUGGGAGGGGCAAGGAGAGGAAAGGGAAAGAAAAGGAAAUGGAUGGAUUGUGUUUUGCUCAGACAUCAUUUCCAUACAAAAGUAGACGGAAACAGAGGGAAAGAAAAUCUAGUUGAUGAUUUUCUUAUAAAAUGCCUCAAGCACCCAAAUUUUACAUAAACUUGAGUAACCAUGUGUUUCAUAUCUGUAGAACUUGCCAUUUGUGAAACCUGCUUUAGAUAUGAAUUGUGGGAUGCAACAGCAGGCUAGGAAUGUUUGACUAAGCAACUUAUGUAAAUAUUUUAUCGUUAAGUGAAGUUCCUCUUUUGCUGUUCAAAAAAAAAAAAAAAAAAGAGAGAGAAAAACCAUUCCUUUAAUGUCUGUCAUUCUACCAAACAGCAGAUUUAGGUUUUCUUUUUUCCCAUCCAUAUCUAAUCCAAAUAAGGCAAAUGAGAACUAUUUUCCACUACUCUCCUUUCCUUUCUUUUUCACUAGGAUUUUUAUUUAUUCUUUCCUUUGAUCCUAAUGGUUCCUAAAAGGGCACUAAUUAUUCUACAUUGAUCGUUCCCCAUAUUUGUAUUAAUGUGCAUGUUCACGAUUCUGUGUACGUUCAUGUUGUGCAUCAAAUCUUGUGACAAAGCUAGAUUGUAAAUUUAAGUUGAAGAAACAUAAAAGAAAAAAGAAAAUGGAUUGGCUCCUUUAAGAGUAUCAGACUUCUAAACCCCAAGGAUUACAUAAUUUUCAUAUCCUUUGCUAUACAAAGAAGUGGCAUAGCCUUAACAAUGAAGUGCUGGAAAAACUCCAGAAGGACUGUGCCAUCCAUGAAAUCACAAUUCCGCUUGCUAUACCAUGCAUUAAUGUGUAUGCCCUUGAUGAUUAAUAUAAUGAAAUCAUGGUUCUAGGCCUUGAAGGAAGGAAUAAGAGCGAAAGUGGAGCUAGCAACAAAAUUUGCAAUCAGUUAUCAGGAUGGGAAAUUUGAUGUACGUGGUGAUCCAGCCUAUGUGAGGGCUUGUUGUGAAGCGAGUUUGAAGCGGCUUGAUGUGGACUGCAUUGAUCUCUAUUAUCAACAUCGCAUCGAUACACGUGUGCCCAUUGAAGUCACGGUUUGCUCGUCUUGCCUUUCUUGUAUUUUAGCUCCACCUCAUUCUUGAUGAAACAAAAGUUUGAUCAACUCCAAAUUUCGAAUAAUUCAGUUUCAUGUGCGUUUCAAUUCUUCAAAAAUUGCACAGAAAAGUUAGUCAACCUUAUGGUCUAGGCUAAUCUGCAGUAUGCUAAAUCUUAUUUAGCACCAGGCACCCUGAAAAGUGAAAACAAUGAAAAUGUCUUAUAUUAGCUUGGCAGUCCUGCUGAGGGAUAUACAGGUGGAUAUCAUGCUAUACAUUGUACAGCUUUCCUUUAGAAGCAAGAGACCUGAGCAUUCUCUUUCAUUUGAGAUAGGCUAUCCAGUUGAGUAAUGAUAUGCUAUUUACUUACCUUGUCAUUCGUUUUCAGUCGGUGCCAAAAGCACUGCAGAUAGAAGUUUUUUAGUCGAUAUCUAAAAAACGUGGUACUCAUUUUGUUCAGAGUAUAGCUUUUUGUCUAAUUGUGAAAGCCAGCUGCGACUACCAUUGACCUCUCUAAGCAAUUCAAAGAUUGCAGCUGCUUGCUUACAUUCAGCUUUUAUGAAAACAAUUUCUGUCUUCUUUUUCUAAUAUAGUCAGCAAAGAAUUGUCUUGUUUUUCCUGAGUAUUAGGAAGAAACUUUCUUGCAGUUUAAUCACUCAAAAUACAGGCAAGUAUAAAGGAAAUCAAGGAAAUUGACAACUGAUAAUUGAUAUGUACAGCCAUUAUUAUAUCUAGAAAACGUGACUGCAAAAAGCGCCUCCCACUCGCGUUUUCUGAGUCGCGUUUCCUGCACAAAACUUGCAGAAAUGGAAACGCGACUGUGCAGGUAAACGCGACUUCAAGUCGCGUUUUUGAAUCUUGACCCCUUCCUGCACUUUAUCACGCGGGCGCGUCAAGAGGAAAUGCCACCUACAUAUUAGCAACAACGAAAACUGAAACCCAAAAUCAGUCGAAUUCAAGGGAAAUAUAUUUAAACUAUCACACGAAAUCAAACAAACAAUUAAAAGAAACAAUUGGGUUGCCUCCCAAGUAGCGCCUUUCUUUAAUGUUUUUGGCUAGACAUGCUAUGCUUGUUCACGGGGGAUAAAAUCUUGUGGCUCGUUUCAAUGCUUCAUCUUCAAUAUGAUCCUGGUAACCCUCAUAGAUGGAGUAAUCUUUGAGCACACGAGUUACGGGCUUCCAUGGACUAGUAAAUGGCGUUAAACAAGUCAACAAUGAUCUGCAUUCUCCACUCACUCCUCCACCACACGCAUUCAUCGGUUCAAGAUAUUUUUUCAUUGCCACUCUUAACUUAUUCCUGUCAUGAAAUUUCAGAUUUUCUGGUAUAAUAAAAUCAAUUUCAGUAACAGGAAUUGAAGAGGAGGAAUUAGGAAAAUAUUGAUUAAGGAGUGGAGAAGAUGUCACCGCAUUUGGAAAUUGUUCACUGGAUUCAUUCACUUGAAUAAUUUGAUGUUGGAGUCUCAUGUCUUCCGCUUCAACUUCCUUUUCAACUGUAUCUUUGGAUCCUCCUUCUUGAGACUCUUGCAGUUCCAUAUCACUUGUCAGGAUAAUUGCACUCUCACCUUUCUUAGAGUCAUUGAUGGUCUGUGAGGGCAAGUCUGACAUGAAUGACGAUUGUUGAGACUCUUGCAGCUGAAAACUCAUUGGCCCCUCUUCAUAAUUAACGUUGGAGUUAUCCCACCAUCCUUGAUCAUACCGGUUUGAAUAAGGGUCAUACCACGUUUGAGAUCGAGGUGAAGAAUCUCCAAAUUUUUUUUUGAGAUAGUCACUCAGGUAGUCUUGAUAUUCGGGGCACAUACCGGUUGAAUGAUCCCUGGCAUAACAAAUUUCACAGGUUGCAGCAGCCAUUCUUUCUCUAACAGAGUUUAGUGCCUCUGCAUAUGCAGACCUCACAAAAAAACUAGCCUCAUUACCUUCCCCGGAAAUAAAAUCCAGUAUAUCACCAAAAUACGGAGUGUAAGAAACCAUAAACUAAAUAAAAAAAAAGAAUGUAAACAAGAUGAAUUGAAAAAGAAACAAAUAACUAGCGCCAGUCCCCGGCAACGGCGCCAAAAAUUGACAGGUGCCGAACCUGUACAAUAAUAAAUACCUACUCGAGAAAAAUACAGAUUUUGUAUAUAGCGGUGAAUAGGGUCGAAUCCACAGGGACUGGGGAUAAUUCGUUUCUUCUAGAGUCCAAAGUAUGGGGGGUUUUGGAUUGAAUGCUAACUAAAUAAAUUAACUGCAGAAAAUAAUUGAUUAAGAGAAAUAAUUAAGGGAAAACUCUAGCCAAGGGUACACUUCAGACAUGGUUCAGGCACUGAUCAUUGAUUCACACAUAAUUCCACAUUUAUUAAUAGACCAGUUAUAGUUGUCAUGCACGCGAUAAACAACCAACCUUUCCUUAAUUUCUCGAUAGUUAAGGUACGACCGUUAACUAUUUCUCUAACCCAAAAACAACCCUAAGUACGACCGUAGGAUUUAAUUUCUAGAUUGCAUUAAUAAUUAGAAAGGCCUAAUCCUAACUAACAAACACGCUACGAGGGUUUGUUUAAGUUAGAUCGUAUGCUCCCCUGACAUAAACUCAAUUACGCCAGUUGCUACUGAGAUAAAGAUAACGAACAAUUACGGAUUCAAUUAUCCCUAUUUAGCAAAAUAGCCUAUGUGAAUAAUUAAAUAUUGCGCAUCUAUUCAAUCACUCACACGAGCUAUAGCAAUUAAAAGCAGGAAACAUAUAAAUAUAAAUAAAUUAAGGAAGCAAUUAAAAUAAAUUAGAUCUCACAGUAAUUGUUGAACCAAAUCUUCAGUUGUCCCCUUGACUUGAAUUAAGAGGUUAGUUCUCCAUUAAUGGAGAACAACCAUGCGAAAGAGCUAAGAAAAGAAAACUCAAAACUCAACUAAAAACCUCAAACUAGUGAUUCAUUCCUCCCCGUUCUCUUGUACGUUUCUCCCUUUUUAAAGCCAAAAGGAAGUCUAAUGCUAUCUCUAGUGGUCCCCACACCAAAUUCAAAGUCUUGUACGUUUCUUUUCCUAGAGUCCAAAUGAUUCAUGCUUCUUAUCCGUGGUCCCCGCACAUGUGGACAAAGCCUUCCAAGUACUUCUUGUUCCAAGUCUCUUUCCGUAGCUUUCUUUGAAGAGCCCAAAUGACUUAUUAGCUUUUCACUAGCUUGUGGUCCCCACCACUCCAAGGGCCCAAGAAUUGAAGUCCUUAGAAGUCUCCCUAUUUUCCAUAAAGUCCUUCCUUUUUGGUAGUUUCCUGCUUCAUUCCUGAAAUUAAGUCCAGAUACCAAAUAUGAGUAAAUAUUAGCAAUUAACACAAUAUUUAUCAGGGAUGAAAGGGGAAAUUAAUAAUAAAAUUACUAACAAAUUAUACCCUAUCAAUCUAGUUCAUGAUUUUCUAGUAAAAUGCCUCAAGCACCCAAAAUUUUACGUAAACUUGAGUAAGCAUGUAUUUCAUAUCUGUAGAACUUGCCAUUUGUGAAACCUGCUUUAGAUAUGAAUUGUGGUAUGCAACAGCACGCUAGGAAUGUUUGGCUAAGCAACUUAUGUAAAUAUUUUAUCGUUAAGCAAAGUUCCUCCUUUCAUGUCUGUCAUUCUAUGCAAACCUCCUUUUAUCGUUAAGCAACUUAUGUAAAUAUUUUAUGUAAAUAUUUUGGUUUUCUUACUUUCCCAUCCAUAUCUAAUCCAAAUAUGACAAAUGAGAACUAUUUUCCUCUACUCUCCUUUCCUUUCUUUUUUACUAGGAUGUUUUAUUUAUUUAUUUAUCCUUUCCUUUGAUCCAAAUGGUUCCUAAAAGGGCACUAAUUAAUCUACAUUGAUCAGUUCCCUAUAUUUGUAUUAAUGUGCAUGUACACGAUUCUGUGAAUGACAAUUAGGCUAGAUUGCUUCAAAUCUUGUGAAUGACAGAGCUAGAUUGUAAAUUUAAGUUGAAGAAAUAUAAAACAAAAAGAAAAAGAAAAUGGAUUGGCUCCUUUAAGAGUAUCAGACUUCUAAACCCCAAGGAUUACAUAAUUUUCAUAUCCUUUGCCACACAAAGAAGUGGCAUAGCCUUAACAAUGAAGUGUUGGAAAAACUCCAGAAGGACUGUGCAAUCCAUGAAAUCACAAAAUCCGCUUGCUAUACCAUGCAUUAAUGUGUAUGUCCUUGAUGAUUAACAUAAUGAAAUCAUGGUUCUAGGCCUUGAAGGAAGGAAUAAGAGCGAAAGUGGAGCUAGCAACAAAAUUUGCAAUCAGUUAUCAGGAUGGGAAAUUUGAUGUAUGUGGUGAUCCAGCCUAUGUGAGGGCUUGUUGUGAAGCGAGUUUGAAGCGGCUUGAUGUGGACUGCAUUGAUCUCUAUUAUCAACAUCGCAUCGAUACACGUGUGCCCAUUGAAGUCACGGUUUGCUCCAUUUUGCCUUUCUUGUUUUUUAGCUCCACCUCAUUCUUGAUGAAACAAAAGUUUGAUCAACUCCAAAUUUAGAAUAAUUCAGUUUCAUGUCCGUUUCAAUUCUUCAAAAAUUGCACAGAAAAGUUAGUCAACCUUAUGGUCUAGGCUAAUCUGCAGUAUGGUAUUGCUGAAUUAGCACAAGGCAUCCUGAAAAGUGAAAACAAUGAAAAUGUCUUAUAUUAGCUUGACAGUCCUGCUGAGGGAUAUACAGGUUGAUAUCAUGCUAUACAUUAUACAGCUUUCGUUUAGAACCAAGAGACCUGAGCAUUCUUUUUCAUUUGAGAUAGGCUAUCCAGUUGAGAUAUACUAUUUACUUACCUUGUCAAUCGUUUUCAGUCGGUGCCAAAAGCACUGCAGAUAGACGUUUUUUAGUCAAUAUCUAAAAACAUGGUACUCAUUUUGUUCAGAGUAUAGCUUUUUGUCUAAUUGUGAAAGCCAACUGCAACUGCCUCAUUGACCUCUCCAAGCAAUUCAAAGAUUUCAGCAGCUUGCUUACAUUAAGCUUUUAUGAAACGAUUUCUCUGUCUUCUUUUUCUCAUGUAGUCAGCAAAGAAUUGUCUUGUUUUCCCUGAGUAUUAGGAAGAAACUUUCUUGCAGUUUAAUCACUCAAAAUACAGGCAAGUAUAAAGGAAAUCAAGCAAAAUUGGCAACUGAUAAUUGCUGCGUACAGCCAUUAUUAUAUAUAUAAGUCAACAAUGUCAUGUAAUCAUAUUGGAGGAGCAUUAUGUUGGCAUGGUCCAGUAGAACUAAGUCAUCCGUUGGGCUGUACAUAGAGAACUAUCACUGGAUGCUUAUUGCCAUUUUCAUCAACUAGGGAUUUCAGUUUGACGUAUACUUUGUCCAAGACUUCGUUGAACUAGUGCAACUUUUACUUGUUCCACGUAAUAUUUCGAUUAUCUGCCUAAGUAUUGAAUGUAAUAAAUCAGCUUCGCAUCUUCUUGUCCAUUGAAAUUCUCUAGAUUGGAGAGCUCAAGAAACUGGUUGAAGAGGGUAAAAUAAAGUAUAUAGGUCUGUCUGAGGCCUCAGCUUCAACAAUUCGAAGAGCACAUGCUGUUCAUCCAAUAACAGCUGUACAGUUGGAGUGGUCAUUGUGGACCAGAGAUGUCGAGGAAGAGAUUAUUCCCGCUUGCAGGUAGUGCGUAUAUUCUGCUGCAUUUUCUACAUGGUCUAGAAGAAAUAUGAAGUUCUCAAUUCAGUUUUUGGUAUAAUCUUUCAGAGAUCUUGGCAUAGGGAUUGUUGCAUAUAGUCCACUUGGACGAGGUUUCUUCUCAUCAGGUCCAAAGCUGAUCGAGAAUUUGGCUGAAGGUGACUUCCGAAAGGUUUGUGCAUAGCCAAAAAGAUUGUUUAUAGUUCGAAUAAGUUUCUCACUCAGUGGCAAUCUUGCUUGAUCACAUUUAAUCAAAUUUCUAUUAAGCAUAGCAAUUCAACGGGUUUUUUUUUUGUUUUCUUCUUGAACAAGUCUUGAACUCUUUAGUUUGAUUCAAUGAAUGCAGAUUUUGGUGUCCUCGGUACUUAGUUCAAAUUAAAAGAUAUAGCACUAGCUUUGUCAAAUUUUAGAUCUUAUAUGAAUUGAAGGUUGUUAUUGCAUGCUGGAAAUUUAUAUAGAGGACAACAAUCGCAAGCAAUGGAUGGUAUUGAAUUUUAAAGUGCAAAGACGUCCUAAGAUGUCAAAACAGGAAGAAACUAUGCCAGUUUUUAAGUAAAAGUCUCUUUACUGUUUUGAGGGGAAAUGGGCCUUAGACUUCAAUUUCAUCAUUUAGUCUCAGGCACAGAACUUAUGUUGUCUUGUGAAACUAUCAUUUUUCUUUUACCAUUAAUCCUAAAACUGAGUUUCAUUGGUCAGAACUCAGAAGUAUACUUCAUAGUUGAUUUGUAUUUUAAGUUUCCUCUUUGAUGGGAAAUAUAUCUCAGAACUUAACUCCAACAGUUGAUGAUUCCUACUUGGGAGUAUUCAGUCCACCUUGAUGCAUUGUUCUUUCCCCUGAACUUGUGCCCUUCAAACAAUAUUUCUGAUCAUCUUGAAGUAAUUAGUACCGUCUGUUCAUUACUCCCUUCUGAUUUCUUGCAUUAUAGUUUCCUCUUUAAUGGGAAAUGUAUCGCAGGAUCUACCUUCUACAAUUGAUGUUUCUUUCCCCUGAAGUUAUUCGUAACGUCUUCUGGCAUUAUAGUUGCUUAAAUUUUGAAAUUCAUACAAUGCAGUAUAUGCCAAGGUUUCAAGCAGAGAAUUUGGAGCACAACAAGAACUUGUACGAGCAGGUCAAUGCCAUUGCUUCAAGGAAGGGUUGUACUCCAUCACAGCUAGCACUGGCCUGGGUCCAUCACCAAGGCAAUGAUGUUUGCCCCAUACCGGGCACUACCAAGAUUGAGAACCUCAAUCAGAAUAUAGGAGCUUUGUCUGUAAAACUGUCUGCAGAGGAAAUGGCGGAACUUGAAUCCAUCGCUUCUGCAGGAGUCAAGGGUGAUAGGUAUGGGCCUGGCCUUGUUACUUGGCAAACUUCUGAAACUCCACCUUUGUCAACCUGGAAGAGGACAUGAAGACAUAUCUUUGUUAUGGCAAUAAUUCCUUCUAGCUAUGUGCCUGAG
This 39199-nucleotide long non-coding RNA is filed under the name Coffea arabica (coffee). RNAcentral's name for it is "long non-coding RNA (CARA_LNC002173)". The record is from RNAcentral. Lineage: Eukaryota; Viridiplantae; Streptophyta; Magnoliopsida; Gentianales; Rubiaceae.